UACGUAGGGUGCGAGCGUUAAUCGGAAUUACUGGGCGUAAAGCGCACGUAGUCGGCUUUGCAAGUCGGUUGUGAAAUCCCCGGGCUCAACCUGGGAACUGCAUCCGAGACUGCAUUGCUAGAGUAUGGGAGAGGAAAGCGGAAUUUCUGGUGUAGCAGUGAAAUGCGUAGAUAUCAGAAGGAACAUCAGUGGUGAAGGCGGCUUUCUGGACCAAUACUGACGAUCAGGUGCGAAAGCGUGGGGAGCAAACAGG
Molecule: ribosomal RNA, 253 nt
Filed under: uncultured bacterium
Lineage: Bacteria
Description: partial 16S ribosomal RNA
Rfam family: Bacterial small subunit ribosomal RNA
Source: RNAcentral